RNAcentral lists this transfer RNA (61 nucleotides) under Ictidomys tridecemlineatus (thirteen-lined ground squirrel). Its description in RNAcentral is "Spermophilus tridecemlineatus (thirteen-lined ground squirrel) tRNA". It matches the Rfam family "tRNA", at positions 6 to 65 of the family's 71-position model. From Rfam's summary of the family: Transfer RNA (tRNA) molecules are approximately 80 nucleotides in length. The record is from Rfam by way of RNAcentral. Lineage: Eukaryota; Metazoa; Chordata; Mammalia; Rodentia; Sciuridae.
UGUGGCUCAGUGAUAGAGCACUUGCCUAGCAUGUAUGAGGCACUGGGUUUGAUUCUCAGCA